Long non-coding RNA from Gadus macrocephalus (Pacific cod), 378 nucleotides. RefSeq lists it as uncharacterized. The transcript has 3 exons. The record is from RefSeq and is a predicted model, not a curated record. NCBI's taxonomy places the organism in Eukaryota, Metazoa, Chordata, Actinopteri, Gadiformes, Gadidae.
CGACUGUAGCGAGCGGAAGAGUUUAAAGUACAUCAAGCUCGUGGUUGGAGGAAUCCCUUGUUUUCCCGGGAAGCUGCGCUCGCAGCCUCACGGGGCUGAAGUUUUGGAACAGCUCACGCGUUUCUUCCACGCGACAGCAGACUGUAGGAUGAGGCUGCUGCUGGUGUUCCUCAUUCAGCUGGUGGGCGUGGCCUGCAGGAGGCCCCAUCCACAAGUCAGCUCCGACACACACACAAAGGCUACAGCCAUGGCGACGACCCCUCUCAUCUACCACUGCUGGUCCGCCCCAACAUGGAGUUCUUCACCUGCUGGUGGAGACCGGUGGGAACGUCUCGGCAGACGAGGACGGUCCGCUACACCCUGAGCUACAGCAAGGAG